UACGGAGGGUGCAAGCGUUGUCCGGAUUUAUUGGGUUUAAAGGGUGCGUAGGUGGCCCGUUAAGUCCGGGGUGAAAGCCCACAGCUCAACUGUGGAACUGCCCUGGAUACUGGCGAGCUUGAGUCCAGACGAGGUUGGCGGAAUGGAUGCUGUAGCGGUGAAAUGCAUAGAUAGCAUCCAGAACCCCGAUUGCGUAGGCAGCUGACUAGGCUGGUACUGACACUGAGGCACGAAAGCGUGGGGAGCGAACAGG
RNAcentral lists this ribosomal RNA (253 nucleotides) under uncultured bacterium. Its description in RNAcentral is "partial 16S ribosomal RNA". It matches the Rfam family "Bacterial small subunit ribosomal RNA", at positions 524 to 776 of the family's 1533-position model. The record is from RNAcentral.